AUGAGAGCCGGCCACUGGAGGCCAUACUGGAGGUCCAAGUCCACGACGUGGACGCUCUUGUGGCCCUCGAGCGCUUCCAGGAUGGCCUGGUUGGCGGUGAAGUGCGCGAACUUGAGGUACGGACACGUCUCGUAGAAGUGGAAAUGUAGGAUCUCAUCCAUGGCGCCGUUGUUGGUGUUUCCAGGAUCGCUGCUCUCUUCUUUGAAUUGCUGCUGGCGCUGCUGCUGCUGCUGAGACUGGUGGUGAUGAUACUGGCGAUCUCCGCCACCACCAACACCGCCGCCACCAUUGUAGCAGCUGUUUUG
RNAcentral lists this long non-coding RNA (305 nucleotides) under Selaginella moellendorffii. RNAcentral's name for it is "long non-coding RNA (SMOE_LNC000479)". Lineage: Eukaryota; Viridiplantae; Streptophyta; Lycopodiopsida; Selaginellales; Selaginellaceae. The record is from RNAcentral.